AAGUCGUAACAAGGUUUCCGUAGGUGAACCUGCGGAAGGAUCAUUACCGAGAGCCCCCUCCCGUGCCGCAAGGUCGGGCGGUGGCCAUUCUCACACCCUUUUUUAUGCGCACCUUUUGUUCUUCCUCGGCGGGGCGACCCGCCGACGGAACACACCCAACCCUUUUGCAUGCAGUAUUACUUGUUCUGAUACCCUAAAUCGUUACAACUUUCAACAAUGGAUCUCUUGGCUCUGGCAUCGAUGAAGAACGCAGCGAAAUGCGAUAAGUAGUGUGAAUUGCAGAAUUCAGUGAAUCAUCGAAUCUUUGAACGCACAUUGCGCCCCUUGGUAUUCCAUGGGGCAUGCCUGUUCGAGCGUCAUCUACACCCUCAAGCACUGCUUGGUGAUGGGCGUCUGUCCCGCCUUCGCGCGCGGACUCGCCCCAAAGGCAUUGGCAGCGGUCCCGAUCGCCCUCUCGCGCAGCACAUUUGCGCUUCUCGAGGCGGCGGGUUCGCGUCCACGAAGCCCUUUUUACCACGUUUGACCUCGGAUCAGGUAGGGAUACCCGCUGAACUUAAGCAUAUCAAUAAGCGGAGGAAAAGAAACCAACAGGGAUUGCCCUAGUAACGGCGAGUGAAGCGGCAACAGCUCAAAUUUGAAAUCUGGCCCUCUUUGGGGGUCCGAGUUGUAAUUUGCAGAGGGUGCUUUGGCAUUGGCGGCGGUCUAAGUUCCUUGGAACAGGACAUCGCAGAGGGUGAGAAUCCCGUACGUGGGCGCCUGCCUUUGCCGUGUAAAGCCCCUUCGACGAGUCGAGUUGUUUGGGAAUGCAGCUCUAAAUGGGAGGUAAAUUUCUUCUAAAGCUAAAUACUGGCCAGAGACCGAUAGCGCACAAGUAGAGUGAUCGAAAGAUGAAAAGUACUUUGGAAAGAGAGUCAAAUAGCACGUGAAAUUGUUGAAAGGGAAGCGCUUGCAGCCAGACUUGCCCGCAGUUGCUCACCCAGGCUCUCGCCUGGGGCACUCUUCUGCGGGCAGGCCAGCAUCAGUUUGGGCGGUUGGAUAAAGGCCUCUGUCACGUAUCUUCCUUCGGGAUGACCUUAUAGGGGAGGCGCAAUGCAACCAGCCCGGACUGAGGUCCGCGCAUCUGCUAGGAUGCUGGCGUAAUGGCUGUAAGCGGCC
RNAcentral lists this ribosomal RNA (1155 nucleotides) under uncultured fungus. RNAcentral describes it as "eukaryotic LSU rRNA". The stretch from base 521 to 1155 matches the Rfam family "Eukaryotic large subunit ribosomal RNA", at positions 1 to 649 of the family's 3401-position model. Lineage: Eukaryota; Fungi. The record is from RNAcentral.